UACGGGGGGGGCAAGCGUUGUUCGGAAUUACUGGGCGUAAAGGGCUCGUAGGCGGCCAACUAAGUCAUACGUGAAAUCCCUCGGCUUAACCGGGGAACUGCGUCUGAUACUGGAUGGCUUGAGUUCGGGAGAGGGAUGCGGAAUUCCAGGUGUAGCGGUGAAAUGCGUAGAUAUCUGGAGGAACACCGGUGGCGAAGGCGGAUCUCUGGGCCAUUACUGACGCUGAGGAGCGAAAGCGUGGGGAGCGAACAGG
Molecule: ribosomal RNA, 253 nt
Filed under: uncultured bacterium
Lineage: Bacteria
Description: partial 16S ribosomal RNA
Rfam family: Bacterial small subunit ribosomal RNA
Source: RNAcentral